UACGUAGGGGGCUAGCGUUGUCCGGAAUCAUUGGGCGUAAAGCGCGUGUAGGCGGCCCGGUAAGUCCGCUGUGAAAGUCGGGGGCUCAACCCUCGGAUGCCGGUGGAUACUGUCGGGCUAGAGUACGGAAGAGGCGAGUGGAAUUCCUGGUGUAGCGGUGAAAUGCGCAGAUAUCAGGAGGAACACCGGUGGCGAAGGCGGGUCUCUGGGCCUUACCUGACGCUCAGGCGCGAAAGCUAGGGGAGCGAACUGG
This 253-nucleotide ribosomal RNA is filed under the name uncultured bacterium. RNAcentral describes it as "partial 16S ribosomal RNA". It matches the Rfam family "Bacterial small subunit ribosomal RNA", at positions 524 to 776 of the family's 1533-position model. The record is from RNAcentral.